RNAcentral lists this ribosomal RNA (159 nucleotides) under Wickerhamiella infanticola. RNAcentral describes it as "partial 18S ribosomal RNA". It matches the Rfam family "Eukaryotic small subunit ribosomal RNA", at positions 1660 to 1817 of the family's 1831-position model. The record is from RNAcentral. Lineage: Eukaryota; Fungi; Ascomycota; Dipodascomycetes; Dipodascales; Trichomonascaceae.
UUGUACACACCGCCCGUCGUUACUACCGAUUGAAUGGCUUAGUGAGGCCUCCGGAUGCGAAUUCACUUGUGGGCAACCGCAACGAAGUCGCAGAAGCUGGACAAACUUGGUCAUUUAGAGGAAGUACAAGUCGUAACAAGGUUUCCGUAGGUGAACCUG